RNAcentral lists this ribosomal RNA (268 nucleotides) under uncultured bacterium. Its description in RNAcentral is "partial 16S ribosomal RNA". The record is from RNAcentral.
CUGCUGCCUUCCGUAGGAGUCUGGGCCGUGUCUCAGUCCCAGUGUGGGGGGCCUUCCUCUCAGAACCCCUACGCAUCGUCGCCACGGUGGGCCGCCACCCCGCCGUCUAGCUAAUGCGCCGCAUGCCCAUCCGCCACCGGAUCGCUCCUUUGGCCACCGGAGGAUGCCCUCCGGUGGCGUCACGGGGUAUUAGGCCGCGUUUCCGCGGGUUAUCCCCCUGUGGCGGCCAGGUUGCAUACGUGUUACUCACCCGUGCGCCGGUCGCCGG